Molecule: ribosomal RNA, 500 nt
Filed under: uncultured bacterium
Lineage: Bacteria
Description: partial 16S ribosomal RNA
Rfam family: Bacterial small subunit ribosomal RNA
Source: RNAcentral
AUUGAACGCUGGCGGCAUGCCUUACACAUGCAAGUCGAACGGCAGCACGGGAGCAAUCCUGGUGGCGAGUGGCGAACGGGUGAGUAAAGUAUCGGAACGUGCCCAGUCGUGGGGGAUAACGUAGCGAACGUUACGCUAAUACCGCAUACGAUCUAUGGAUGAAAGCGGGGGAUCGCAAGACCUCGCGCGAUUGGAGCGGCCGAUAUCAGAUUAGGUAGUUGGUGGGGUAAAGGCUCACCAAGCCGACGAUCUGGAGCUGGUCUGAGAGGACGACCAGCCACACUGGGACUGAGAAACGGCCCAGACUCCUACGGGAGGCAGCAGUGGGGAAUUUUGGACAAUGGGCGAAAGCCUGAUCCAGCCAUGCCGCGUGCAGGAUGAAGGCCUUCGGGUUGUAAACUGCUUUUGUACGGAACGAAAAGGUUUGGCCUAAUAAGCUGAGCUCAUGACGGUACCGUAAGAAUAAGCACCGGCUAACUACGUGCCAGCAGCCGCCGUAA